This 987-nucleotide long non-coding RNA is filed under the name Equus caballus (horse). RNAcentral describes it as "lncRNA (ENSECAG00000054172.1)". Lineage: Eukaryota; Metazoa; Chordata; Mammalia; Perissodactyla; Equidae. The record is from RNAcentral.
AAAAUGAGGGCAGAGAAGGAAUGUUUACUGAGUACCUACUGCCAGCCAGACCAUACCAGUACUUUUACAUUGAUUUAAAAUUUAAUCCUCACAAAAGCAGCCUGCUCUUCUGCUUCAGAUCCGAGAGGGGCUACCUACCAUAUCUCGGCUAAAAGCAAAAUGGAUUACAAUCUUUUUAUCCUAACUAUCCUCCAGAAGCUUGCCUGAAUCUCUUUGUCUCUAUUCAAAAAGGAAAGUAUAUCUUCAACACGUGAUCUGAGAACACCAGCACCCGAAACACAUUUUUCUUAUUUAAAGUUCUCUUUUCUGGUCUCCACGUUAAUAUUACUGGAUCAGAAUUUCUGGAAUGAGGCCCAGACUAUACAUUUUUACCCAAAUUGUCCAGGUGCUUCUUAUGCAUACCAAAGUUUGAGAAACACUGCUUUUGAUAAUCUCCAUCAAUAGUUGCCUCUUUCCCUAACAGAUCCAGAAACUUCCCCUUAACUGGCUCUGAAAUUUGGCUCCUAUUCCUCAAUAUCAUCUACAAAUUUCACUUAGAGGUUACUUAUAACCCCCUAAAUGGCCUUUUCCCAGUACCUAUCCUUCCUGACGUCUUUGUAGCAUAAAAGAAUAGUCAUGUCAUAAAGCAUUGAACUUGUGAACCUUCAGUUAUGCUCACUUGGCCAAAGACAAAGGAAAGAAAAUGACAACAUAAGCAGAUGAUUUAUGUACCAUUCCAGUCAAUGACCUCUGCUUCAAACAGGCAUCAGAUGGGAUACUUGAACCCACCACCAUCCAGUAGGUCUCUCAUACUGUGAGCUACUAGCUCACUGAGUGUGAGUCCAGUGUUGAAAACUCUGUGUUUUACAUUCAACAUGAUCCCUACAUAAAAUUCAAUUAUGUCUUAUGGAUUGGGGAAGGAAGGAAGGAAGGAGAGAAGGAAAGAAGGAAGGAAAGAAGUAUGCAAUCCAAUUUGGGGAAGAAAAUAAAACUUGUGUUGAAUUUUUA